This 262-nucleotide long non-coding RNA is filed under the name Malus domestica (apple). RNAcentral's name for it is "long non-coding RNA (MDOM_LNC006613)". The record is from RNAcentral. Lineage: Eukaryota; Viridiplantae; Streptophyta; Magnoliopsida; Rosales; Rosaceae.
AAAGAUACAUAACAAUAAUAUGUUUAGCAUGAAAAGGAAACAAGAGUCCCAGACUAACAUUGGGUUGUGAAAGAGGUACAAUAUGCAAAGGAAGAGAAUGGACGAAAAACUGGAACGAGAAAGUGCGGAUGCCCUUUCCAAUUAUAGGGUAAGAAGCUUGCAACUUAAGAUUAUUAGAUAUUGAUGGUAGUUUUGUCAAAUGAAAUAAAAUUUUAAACAAUUUGUUUUAUUAACUUCUCGAAUUCAUUAAUUUGUCAUCUCU